GCAGAGAGGAAACGAUAAAUCAAGCAUUUUCAACUGAUUUUUCCUCAGCUAUGGAGUUUAGCAUAGACUUAAAAAUAGCAACUGUUGCACUUUAUGUAACUUGUGCCUCAUAUUCUUUUAAAGUGUCUUUUCAGAUAUUUUUGAGAAUGGCUUUCAAUAUGCUCAACCUAAAUGUCUUAUUUUUAUAUUGUUUAAUCUCCAAAUAUGUGCAUGUACUAAAUAAUUAUCUUAAAAUCAGCAAGUUUGUAAAUCAGUUUUCUUAACAUCUCAGAAUCUAAUUAGAUCAUUAUGAAUUCUUCCUCAUUAUCAUUGUCCACUAUGUAACACACUUUUGCAGUCCUGCUUGUGAUUUAUUCAUGUGUUGUCAGUUAUAACAUUCUUAUUUACAGUUGUUAUGCAGUCAGAUUACAAGAAUGUGCUUGGUAUUAAUGCAGAUUUAAUGACAAAAAUAUGCUGAAAUUUUGAUAUUGAACUUGUAUAUCUAUUUAAGAUGUGAUGCAUAAAACCACAAACUUACAAUCAAGGGAAACAUAGAAUAACACACUGAUUGUGCAGUAUACCUUUAAAAAAAUUAAUAGCUUAAAAAAAUAUAAACAAGAAAAACUCUUAAAUCUGGGUCUGAUUAACUAAAUGUUUAACAUUAUCACACUAGAUGUUUAGAUUUUAAAAAAGUAAAGUCUUUAAUUUAGUGUAAUUUCAAGCUGUUUAUUUUCAUUUAUUUUUCUUUUGCAAAUCUUCUGUUGCAAAGUUUCAUUAUUGAAGUUUAGUGGUUCAUUGUAGAAAAUAAUAAGAGACACUGAACAACUGUCUUAGGUUGCCAAAUUUGCUGUUUUCCUAUGGAAAAUGGACUACUAUUAAACAGUUUUCACAGGUUUCUUUUUUCUUUUUCACCCACAGGUUAAAUGUCUAAAUUAUAUUUGACAAAAAAUGCAUCUAUAGAAAUACAGUAUUUCAUUACAUCCAAUGUAUAUUCUACCAAUGACAAAACUGCUUGAUGAUGAGGUAUAGAAAGGAGAGUUUUGUAAAAACCGGGACAAGGGAGCCUGUCUGCUUUCAUUUCCAUGGUAACAGUUUGACUGGUCUCUAAUUACUGCUAGUUAUUAAAAAGUAUGAUGUCAUCUACAGGCCAGCAAUGAAAUUUAAAUUUUAGAUUAUAAUCUGUAAAUAGUUAAUUUUGAAAUGGUUCUAAAAUAAAAGAUUACCAUCC
Molecule: long non-coding RNA, 1207 nt
Organism: Carassius carassius (crucian carp)
Lineage: Eukaryota; Metazoa; Chordata; Actinopteri; Cypriniformes; Cyprinidae
Exons: 2
Source: RefSeq, a predicted model, not a curated record